GUAGAGGAGCUUUCGGGCGCGGCACCGGUCUAAGUUCCUUGGAACGGGGCGUCAUAGAGGGUGAGAAUCCCGUAUGUGACCGGCGACCAAGCCCAUGUGAAAGCCCUUCGACGAGUCGAGUUGUUUGGGAAUGCAGCUCAAAAUGGGUGGUAAAUUUCAUCUAAAGCUAAAUACCGGCCAGAGACCGAUAGCGCACAAGUAGAGUGAUCGAAAGAUGAAAAGCACUUUGGAAAGAGAGUCAAAAAGUACGUGAAAUUGUUGAAAGGGAAGCGCUUGCAACCAGACCUGCCCGCGGGCGAUCAGCCGUCCUUCUGGGCGGUGCACUCGACCGCGAUCAGGCCAGCAUCGGUUCGGGCGGCCGGAUAAAGGCCUCGGGAACGUAGCUCCUUUCGGGGAGUGUUAUAGCCCUUGGUGUAAUGCGGCUAGCCCGGACCGAGGACCGCGCUUCGGCUAGGAUGCUGGCGUAAUGGUUGCAAGCGGCCCGUCUUGAAACACGGACCAAGGAGUCUAACAUCUAUGCGAGUGUUUGGGUGUCAAACCCACACGCGGAAUGAAAGUGAACGGAGGUGGGAACCCUGAAGGGCGCACCAUCGACCGAUCCAGAUGUCUUCGGAUGGAUUUGAGUACGAGCAUAGCUGUUGGGACCCGAAAGAUGGUGAACUAUGCCUGAAUAGGGUGAAGCCAGAGGAAACUCUGGUGGAGGCUCGCAGCGGUUCUGACGUGCAAAUCGAUCGUCAAAUUUGGGUAUAGGGGCGAAAGACUAAUCGAACCAU
This 773-nucleotide ribosomal RNA is filed under the name Bryoplaca tetraspora. RNAcentral describes it as "partial large subunit ribosomal RNA". It matches the Rfam family "Eukaryotic large subunit ribosomal RNA", at positions 151 to 943 of the family's 3401-position model. The record is from RNAcentral. Lineage: Eukaryota; Fungi; Ascomycota; Lecanoromycetes; Teloschistales; Teloschistaceae.